AGCAGUGUGGCUUAGUAGGUAGAGCGUGGGCCUGGGAGUCAGAAGGGCAUAGGUUCUAAUCCUGUCUCUGCUA
This 73-nucleotide transfer RNA is filed under the name Ornithorhynchus anatinus (platypus). It matches the Rfam family "tRNA". From Rfam's summary of the family: Transfer RNA (tRNA) molecules are approximately 80 nucleotides in length. The record is from Rfam by way of RNAcentral. Lineage: Eukaryota; Metazoa; Chordata; Mammalia; Monotremata; Ornithorhynchidae.